This is a long non-coding RNA of Mirounga angustirostris (Northern elephant seal), 701 nucleotides long. RefSeq lists it as uncharacterized. The transcript is spliced from 3 exons. The record is from RefSeq and is a predicted model, not a curated record. NCBI's taxonomy places the organism in Eukaryota, Metazoa, Chordata, Mammalia, Carnivora, Phocidae.
UUUAUAUCUUGGCAAAUGGCUCUAUUGUUUCAUUUUUCUCUUCAUUACAGAGAUUCUGGAGUUGGCAAUGUCUAUAAUCCCAAUUAUGUUGAAUUCCUAGGGAGUUCCUGAGUUGUGAUUUGCCUGACAUCAUGUGAAAUGGGUGCAUUUUUCUUAGAGUUCAUAAUGCUAAUUUGACUCUCAAAAGGAUACAUAAUCCUGAAAGGACUGAGGACUGUUCAUCUAAAUCAGGAGAGUGUCUCUACUCUAGGGGAUGUGCAUGAUAAUUCAGUGAAGAAAGCGCACCCAAUCCAGUUUUUAGUGCCUCUUUAGAGGAAUGGAUCAUCAGAUUUUGGGGGAAAAUCUCCAAAUAUGAGAAAGAGAGAGAGAAAUAAGCAGAGACAACAGACAAACAGACCUGUAGCAUUAAUAUCUUCAGACAGUGACACUUGAAGGGCCUGCUACCAAUGGCUGAAAAACCUCAACAUGGUUUCCUUGGCAAUCCCUAGAAUGAGGAAAUGAAAGGAAAGUUCACCAAUUAAAGAACGAAAACCCAUAACCCCUCAUGCUCCCCUUUGAUUCCCACCAAAUUAGAGGAAGCUGUAUGGAGGGAAUAAGCCAACCCAGGUCUUAGAGAAGAAUAUCUGGCCUCCUCCCUUCACACAAUCUAUGGGCAGCUACCACAACAUCAUUACCUCAUGGUCGGAUUGGUAUGAGAUAUA